GACAGCUGAUGUAGUAUUUCCAAGAGCAGAAGAAAGCCAGCAAACUCUGGUGCCCCAGUGGCCCCCAGCUACCACCCUGGCAGUGGUCAAGGUGGCCUGAGGACUGGGGAUGGCAUCUUCACAACUUUUAGGAAAUCUUUCUUAAGGAUAUCAACAAUUGUUCUCUACAGACAAGCCCUGUCUUUUCCAUGCCCUGUUCAUCUAAUUAAGUGGUCAUUGGAUAUACCUUUCAACAUUCUGCCUCAGACAUUUUGGGAAUGCUCAAGUUCAACGAGAGGCAUAUCAAAGAGGCAUCACAGUAUGGGUUGAGAGCUCGGGCAGUGGAACUGGAUGACCUAGAGGAACCAACAUCUUCAGCCACUGCAGGCAGCUGGACCUGAGCAUGACAUGCUACCUGUCGGGGGAGGGAAGAGGCUGAUGUGACUACGAGAUUCAGAGAAAUGGACUGAAGUAAUAAACAUUAACGUAAC
Long non-coding RNA from Zalophus californianus (California sea lion), 470 nucleotides. RefSeq lists it as uncharacterized. The transcript has 3 exons. The record is from RefSeq and is a predicted model, not a curated record. NCBI's taxonomy places the organism in Eukaryota, Metazoa, Chordata, Mammalia, Carnivora, Otariidae.